RNAcentral lists this ribosomal RNA (799 nucleotides) under Limosilactobacillus fermentum. RNAcentral's name for it is "bacterial SSU rRNA". It matches the Rfam family "Bacterial small subunit ribosomal RNA", at positions 65 to 837 of the family's 1533-position model. The record is from RNAcentral. Lineage: Bacteria; Bacillati; Bacillota; Bacilli; Lactobacillales; Lactobacillaceae.
GAUUGAUGGUGCUUGCACCUGAUUGAUUUUGGUCGCCAACGAGUGGCGGACGGGUGAGUAACACGUAGGUAACCUGCCCAGAAGCGGGGGACAACAUUUGGAAACAGAUGCUAAUACCGCAUAACAGCGUUGUUCGCAUGAACAACGCUUAAAAGAUGGCUUCUCGCUAUCACUUCUGGAUGGACCUGCGGUGCAUUAGCUUGUUGGUGGGGUAACGGCCUACCAAGGCGAUGAUGCAUAGCCGAGUUGAGAGACUGAUCGGCCACAAUGGGACUGAGACACGGCCCAUACUCCUACGGGAGGCAGCAGUAGGGAAUCUUCCACAAUGGGCGCAAGCCUGAUGGAGCAACACCGCGUGAGUGAAGAAGGGUUUCGGCUCGUAAAGCUCUGUUGUUAAAGAAGAACACGUAUGAGAGUAACUGUUCAUACGUUGACGGUAUUUAACCAGAAAGUCACGGCUAACUACGUGCCAGCAGCCGCGGUAAUACGUAGGUGGCAAGCGUUAUCCGGAUUUAUUGGGCGUAAAGAGAGUGCAGGCGGUUUUCUAAGUCUGAUGUGAAAGCCUUCGGCUUAACCGGAGAAGUGCAUCGGAAACUGGAUAACUUGAGUGCAGAAGAGGGUAGUGGAACUCCAUGUGUAGCGGUGGAAUGCGUAGAUAUAUGGAAGAACACCAGUGGCGAAGGCGGCUACCUGGUCUGCAACUGACGCUGAGACUCGAAAGCAUGGGUAGCGAACAGGAUUAGAUACCCUGGUAGUCCAUGCCGUAAACGAUGAGUGCUAGGUGUUGGAGGGUUUCCGC